GUCGCGUUGGCUCAGUCGGGUAGAGGUUUGACUGUGGUGCAGAGGGUCAGGGGUUCGACUCCCCGCUGCGGGCA
Molecule: non-coding RNA, 74 nt
Organism: Caenorhabditis elegans
Lineage: Eukaryota; Metazoa; Nematoda; Chromadorea; Rhabditida; Rhabditidae
Source: the annotation of a RefSeq genome assembly